RNAcentral lists this ribosomal RNA (378 nucleotides) under Hyrtacus sp. n. A JAR-2018. Its description in RNAcentral is "partial 12S ribosomal RNA". Lineage: Eukaryota; Metazoa; Arthropoda; Insecta; Phasmatodea; Lonchodidae. The record is from RNAcentral.
UAAACUAGGAUUAGAUACCCUAUUAUUUUAGAUGUAAAUUUUUACCUAGGUAAUAACAUUUUAUUUAAACCUAAAGAAUUUGGCGGUGUUUUAGUCUAUUCAGAGGAAUUUGUCUCUUAAUCGAUAAUCCUCGUUGUAUCUUGCUUUUUCUAUUUAGUAUGUAUAUCGCCGUUAUAAGUUUAUUUUUUUAGAAUUAUUUACUUUAUAAUUAAUUUAUUAUUAUUUCAGGUCAAGGUGCAGUUUAUGUUAAAGUGAUGAUGAAUUACAUUAUUAUAUAAAUUUUUGGAUAUAAUUUUUAUAAUGUUAUUUAAAUUGGAUUUGUUUGUAAUUUUAACUAUAAAAUUAAUUUGAUUUUAGCUCUAAAAUGAGUACACAUCG